Molecule: long non-coding RNA, 2528 nt
Filed under: Homo sapiens (human)
Lineage: Eukaryota; Metazoa; Chordata; Mammalia; Primates; Hominidae
Description: HSALNT0333227
Source: RNAcentral
GAAGCAGUUGUGGAAAACUGCUUUAAAUGUCAUAGAGCACUCAGAAGGAAUUCAUAAAUGACCUCAUAAAGAAGUCCACUGUGGUUUCCCUGCAGAGGUGGGAAUAGAAUCAGAGUGCUAAGGAUUGAGGGAUUAAGAGGAGGUGAUUGUAUUAUUCCUCUUUUCAGAUAAUGGAGAGAGAGAAGAGAACAGCAGUAGCCGUUGCCAGAAAUAUUGAGCAAGGCGGAUUUAUUAGAUGAAGAUAUCAAAAUACUUUCCAUUGAGGAAACAGGUUGGAGGUGGGAGGCUGUAACCAUGCUUGAUUUUGUACCACCCUAACCUUUGCUUGAUCCAGGUUCCAGUCCAAUAUGCACCAUUCAGCCUGGUUGCAGCAUGUUAAGCAGCCCUGGAGGCAGCAGAUGAGGGAUCCUAUGAAGCAACUUUCAGACAUUCAGAACCAAGACAAAAAAAAAGAGAAUUAAAGUAAAAUAUGAUGUACCCAGGAGUUACAUCAGUGAACCAAAUACAGCCUCAAAUUUCGAUCUGUGCUUCACAGCAGCCAGCAAAAAGAACAAAACAUAUUUUGUUAGUUCAUAUAAAUAAAUAAAUUAAAAAUGCAUGAAUAAAUAAAUAAAGCAAACCAGUUUCUCGAUUCUGAAAUAUUUUCUGGAAGUGAGAACUGAAAGGAAUUUCCACCAUGGACCCACAAGCAGUUGUUGGUGGCAUAUAUAAUGAGUGCUGGGUGUUAAGGAAGCAAUGGUGAAGGAGAGACACCCUCCCGACCCUCAUGGUGCUUGCAGCCUAGUGGAGCUAUGAAAAGAUAGGCAAGUGAGUCCUAUGAUUGGAGAAGUAAUGAGAAGUAAUGAGAAGCGUCUUCUAAGCAUAGGGGUAAAGACUGCAAAGACCCUGAAGGGAGAAAGUAAUGGCCAUUCUGAGAACUGAAAGUUUGCACAGUGCACAGAGGGCAUGAAGAACGAAGGAAAGAGAUUUUUUUUUUUUUUUUUUUGCCCAAGAUGGCAAGUUGCUUAAAACCUAAAGCUCCUUUCAAUUCUUUACAAUCCAAGAUUAUAUGGAAUGGACUGGGAACAAAGAGAGGGACUGGCAUUUAAAGUCUUUUAUACACUUUGGAACAAAUGUUAUUCUCCAUUCAUCCUGACACUAAAUUGGUUAGCCAAACCCAAAGAUCUACUAAUAAUCCUGCUUUGGCAUGGGAGAAUGAGUGAGAUAAGGAGGCAAUAGAGGAGAUGAAUCGACAAAUGGAAGGAAUAGAAUUCUGGUUGAUGUCCUUGUCUCUAAGCUGUAGCAGCAAGUAUUUAUCCUAAUCAUGUGGUGUUAGCACGGAGAUGAGAAAGAGAGAAAGACAACAUCAUGCUUUGCUGUCUGUGUGUGAACUGAGUAACAGCUGUGAAGGAUCAGUCACCAAAAGACUUUGAAAGAAGAGGCUUGAUUGGUCACGGUAAUGAUGCUCCCCUGGCCAUGGAAGUUUAAUUGGGAGAAAAGAACAUCUGCUUAUACGAAAACAUAUUAUAUUCAGCCAUCCCUGCCCUGACUUUGGCCUUUAAAAACAGUGGCAUUAAUUAUCUCAACAAAUGAAUCUUCGGGAUAAAAAUAAUCUAAAUAUUAUUUUACGCUUACUACAUAUUUGCAACGUGCUAAGCUCUUUAUGGUUGCUACCACAAAAAACAUUUAUAAUAUGAGACUUCACAAGGUUAGGAACAGGCUUCACUUCAUUGUGAUGUGUGUAAGGUGACAGAGGACAUAUAACGAAUACGUGGAAGAACUAGGAAUUUGACCUUAGCUUCCAGACAUUUUGAGGAGGAUACACUAUGUCCAUCUUGCUUUCCUAUCAAGAAAAGUAUACCCAGUUUGUGCAGUAGCCCUGUACCAACAGAUACAUUACAGCAGGUUGUUUCCGUAUUUUGGCUAUUGUGAAUAGUGCUGCAAUAAACAUGGAAGUGCUGAUAUAUCUUUGAGAUCUUGACUUCAAACAAAAGAAGAAAAUCUUGCAAUAUAUGACAACACGGAUUAACCUGGAGGACAUUGUGCUUAGUGAAGUUAGCCAGUCACAGACUGACAAGUACUGCACGAUUCCACUUAUGAAGACUACAGUUCCUAUCUUCACAGGUGGCUGUUAGCUCUAAAUGAACUCAUUUAUUUUGAAAGCAUGAUUUAAAGUAUAGUUUUAAACUAUAAGCAUUUCAGAAGUGAUGACCCAUGACUCAAAUCUCAAAAAUAAAUGCUACAGUUCACAGUUGGAAUAUGGACACAAGAAAAAUAAUAGGCUUUGGCCAAAAAAGAGUGCAGUUCUGUGAUGAAUAUCAGCUUCAUCAACAUGCCCCAGGCACCGUGAUGUCCCUCCUCUGCUCUGCUGCAUAACAGGGUGGAGACCAAAUCCAACAGUAUGAACAAGCAUCCAUCAAAACCACAGUUCUAUUAUUGAGACCAUUUCUGAUUGAAUUUCCUCAGCAGACUAUCCAAGUCGUCAUGUUCAUCAAGGUAUUCAAUUUAAAUGACCAUUAAAACGAAAUUAAGUUGGUAUUAACCUUGUC